RNAcentral lists this ribosomal RNA (501 nucleotides) under uncultured bacterium. RNAcentral's name for it is "bacterial SSU rRNA". It matches the Rfam family "Bacterial small subunit ribosomal RNA", at positions 28 to 521 of the family's 1533-position model. The record is from RNAcentral.
GACGAACGCUGGCGGCGUGGAUUAGGCAUGCAAGUCGAACGGUAUCAUCCUUUCGGGGGUGAGAGAGUGGCGAACUGGUGAGUAACACGUAGGUUAUCUACCCUCAAGACGGGGACAACCCAGGGAAACUUGGGCUAAUACCGGAUGUGAGCAACUUUUAGUUGUUUGAAAGGUGGCGUAAGCUGUCGCUUGGGGAUGAGCCUGCGUCCUAUUAGUUAGUUGGUGAGGUAACGGCUCACCUAGGCAAUGAUAGGUAGGCGGCCUUAACGGGUGGUCGCCCACACUGGGAUUGAGAUACGGCCCAGACUCCUACGGGAGGCAGCAGUCGAGAAUAGUCUACAAUGGUCGGAAGACUGAUAGUGCGACGCCGCGUGAACGAUGAAUCCCUUCGGGGUGUAAAGUUCUUUUAUAUGUGAGCAGUGCUUCUUAUAUUAACAGUAUGGGGAGAGAGAUAUUAGCAUAUGAAUAAGCAACGGCUAACUCCGUGCCAGCAGCUGCGGU